Molecule: small RNA, 358 nt
Filed under: Gonapodya prolifera JEL478
Lineage: Eukaryota; Fungi; Monoblepharomycota; Monoblepharidomycetes; Monoblepharidales; Gonapodyaceae
Description: 5' ureB small RNA
Rfam family: 5' ureB small RNA
Source: Rfam by way of RNAcentral
UCGGUGCAGAUUUGCGGACAAAUAAAGUGAACGUGGGCGUCCAUCGCGCCCGCAGUGAAGAUGUGGCCCUCCCCAGCCAGUGCCUCCGUGGUAGGUCCCACAACCAUUCCGGGAGUAACGCCAGCCAUGACGUCCGGGUUUCCUGCCUUUCCAAUCCCCACAAUGAACCCUUUUGCGGCGGAAGGGGCACCUGUCGGGCACGAACUCACGCAAACCUGUCCACACAACACACACCUUUCUUAAUCCCAAUAUCCGCCUUGAAAAUCCCCGUCCAGUCGACCACGAGCGCGUUCGUGAUGACCAAAUCGAGUGCCUCGGCGUCCGUCACGCCGGCCGCCUGACCCAUCCCGUCGCGCAA